CCAAUUACAACAGACCCUAAAAAAUAAUUACAUCAGCCCAACCUAAAGCCCAAACCCAUAACAGUCAAAGAAACCCUAAGCAGAUUGAAGCAAAUCGGCGCCGCAGCAACUGCCCACGUCGCGACAACCGUCUCUACCCACGAACGUGCGCCUCUUCCACGAUCUCCAUGCCUGCAAGAAAAAUUGAUCCAAACAGCAGUAGACGCAGCGAAUAACAUAAAGAUAAGAAAAAUUGUAUAAAGGGGAAAUUUUUUCUGUAAAAUGGGGGUUCCUCUUUCUUUUUUUUUUUUUUCUUUUUUUUUGAUAUAUACAAAAACAGAUUCAACAAAAAGAAAGAAGAGGCAAACAAAGAACAAAAAUACUUCGGAGGUGAUUUCCUUUUUCGUUUUUCAUACUAGUCUGCUUCCAUUUUCUUCAUCUCCUUGGUCCCUCUGUUUUUGAGUCGUUUUUAAUGCGAUUUUUUUAUAUAUUUAUAAUUUUAACCAUACGUUUUAAUUUUUG
RNAcentral lists this long non-coding RNA (501 nucleotides) under Gossypium barbadense (sea-island cotton). RNAcentral's name for it is "long non-coding RNA (GBAR_LNC013700)". The record is from RNAcentral. Lineage: Eukaryota; Viridiplantae; Streptophyta; Magnoliopsida; Malvales; Malvaceae.